RNAcentral lists this ribosomal RNA (798 nucleotides) under Paenibacillus validus. RNAcentral's name for it is "bacterial SSU rRNA". It matches the Rfam family "Bacterial small subunit ribosomal RNA", at positions 60 to 846 of the family's 1533-position model. The record is from RNAcentral. Lineage: Bacteria; Bacillati; Bacillota; Bacilli; Caryophanales; Paenibacillaceae.
AGUCGAGCGGACUUUCCGUUCGGGAUAUGGUUAGCGGCGGACGGGUGAGUAACACGUAGGCAACCUGCCUGUAAGAUCGGGAUAACUACCGGAAACGGUAGCUAAGACCGGAUAGCUGGUUUCUCCGCAUGGGGGAAUCAUGAAACAUGGGGCAACCUGUGGCUUACGGAUGGGCCUGCGGCGCAUUAGCUAGUUGGUGGGGUAACGGCCCACCAAGGCGACGAUGCGUAGCCGACCUGAGAGGGUGAUCGGCCACACUGGGACUGAGACACGGCCCAAACUCCUACGGGAGGCAGCAGUAGGGAAUCUUCCGCAAUGGGCGCAAGCCUGACGGAGCAACGCCGCGUGAGUGAUGAAGGUUUUCGGAUCGUAAAGCUCUGUUGCCAAGGAAGAACGCCUCGGAGAGUAACUGCUCUGAGGGUGACGGUACUUGAGAAGAAAGCCCCGGCUAACUACGUGCCAGCAGCCGCGGUAAUACGUAGGGGGCAAGCGUUGUCCGGAAUUAUUGGGCGUAAAGCGCGCGCAGGCGGUCUUUUAAGUUUGGUGUUUAAGCCCGGGGCUCAACCCCGGUUCGCACUGAAAACUGGGAGACUUGAGUGCAGGAGAGGAAAGCGGAAUUCCACGUGUAGCGGUGAAAUGCGUAGAGAUGUGGAGGAACACCAGUGGCGAAGGCGGCUUUCUGGACUGUAACUGACGCUGAGGCGCGAAAGCGUGGGGAGCAAACAGGAUUAGAUACCCUGGUAGUCCACGCCGUAAACGAUGAGUGCUAGGUGUUAGGGGUUUCGAUACCCUUGGUGC